UGUGGAGGAGAAUCAUCAGCAAUGACACCAAUAAUCAACUCACUCCUGCUGUUACUGUUAAUAAAUGGUGUUCACUGUCAGACCUUCACUCAGUCUCAAGCUGAGGUAAAAAAACCAGGUGAAUCUUUUCGUCUGGUCUGUACCGCAUCUGGAUUUACAUUCAGCAGCUACUGGGCAAGUGUGGUGAGACAAGCUCCCGGUAAAGGAUUGGAGUGGGUUGCAACUAUUGGCACAUCCAGUUCUCCUAUCCGCUAUUCUCAGGCAGUCCAGGGAAGGUUCACAGUGUCCAGAGAUGAUUCCAGCAGUCAACUGUACCUUCAGAUGAACAACCUUAAGACUGAAGACACUGCUGUCUAUUACUGUGCCAGAGAGACACUGUGA
This is a non-coding RNA of Danio aesculapii, 381 nucleotides long. The record is from the annotation of a RefSeq genome assembly. NCBI's taxonomy places the organism in Eukaryota, Metazoa, Chordata, Actinopteri, Cypriniformes, Danionidae.